UACAGAGGGUGCGAGCGUUAAUCGGAAUUACUGGGCGUAAAGCGUGCGUAGACGGUUAUCUAAGUCGGAUGUGAAAGCCCCGGGCUCAACCUGGGAAUGGCAAUGGAUACUGGCAAGCUAGAGUGCGGUAGAGGGUAGUGGAAUUCCCGGUGUAGCGGUGAAAUGCGUAGAGAUCGGGAGGAACACCAGUGGCGAAGGCGGCUACCUGGACCAGCACUGACACUGAGGCACGAAGGCGUGGGGAGCAAACAGG
RNAcentral lists this ribosomal RNA (253 nucleotides) under uncultured bacterium. Its description in RNAcentral is "partial 16S ribosomal RNA". It matches the Rfam family "Bacterial small subunit ribosomal RNA", at positions 524 to 776 of the family's 1533-position model. The record is from RNAcentral.